This 468-nucleotide ribosomal RNA is filed under the name uncultured bacterium. RNAcentral's name for it is "partial 16S ribosomal RNA". It matches the Rfam family "Bacterial small subunit ribosomal RNA", at positions 28 to 507 of the family's 1533-position model. The record is from RNAcentral.
GACGAACGCUGGCGGCGUGCUUAACACAUGCAAGUCGAACGGAAAGGCCCUGCUUUUGUGGGGUUCUCGAGUGGCGAACGGGUGAGUAACACGUGAGUAACCUGCCCUUGACUUUGGGAUAACUUCAGGAAACUGGGGCUCAUACCGGAUAGGAGCUCCUGCUGCAUGGUGGGGGUUGGAAAGUUUCGGCGGUUGGGGAUGGACUCGCGGCUUAUCAGCUUGUUGGUGGGGUAGUGGCUUACCAAGGCUUUGACGGGUGGCCGGCCUGAGAGGGUGACCGGCCACAUUGGGACUGGGAUACGGCCCAGACUCCUACGGGAGGCAGCAGUGGGGAAUAUUGCACAAUGGGCGGAAGCCUGAUGCAGCAACGCCGCGUGCGGGAUGACGGCCUUCGGGUUGUAAACCGCUUUCGCCUGUGACGAAGCGUGAGUGACGGUAAUGGGUAAAGAAGCACCGGCUAACUACGUG